GAUCUACGUCUAUUACGAUGUGCACGUCCUCUAUAUUUUGUAGUGGCAGAUCUGAAAGCAGCGAAAGAUACAGUAGUUAUAUUAAGAGAAUUGAGUGGAUGCUUUCCUUGUCCUAAGACUAUCACUCAGGACCUCAUGCAUCAAU
Molecule: non-coding RNA, 145 nt
Filed under: uncultured Mallomonas
Lineage: Eukaryota; Synurophyceae; Synurales; Mallomonadaceae
Source: RNAcentral